RNAcentral lists this transfer RNA (82 nucleotides) under Ixodes scapularis (black-legged tick). It matches the Rfam family "tRNA". Rfam says of the family: Transfer RNA (tRNA) molecules are approximately 80 nucleotides in length. Their secondary structure includes four short double-helical elements and three loops (D, anti-codon, and T loops). Further hydrogen bonds mediate the characteristic L-shaped molecular structure. tRNAs have two regions of fundamental functional importance: the anti-codon, which is responsible for specific mRNA codon recognition, and the 3' end, to which the tRNAs corresponding amino acid is attached (by aminoacyl-tRNA synthetases). tRNAs cope with the degeneracy of the genetic code in two manners: having more than one tRNA (with a specific anti-codon) for a particular amino acid; and 'wobble' base-pairing, i.e. permitting non-standard base-pairing at the 3rd anti-codon position. The record is from Rfam by way of RNAcentral. Lineage: Eukaryota; Metazoa; Arthropoda; Arachnida; Ixodida; Ixodidae.
GCAGUCGUGGCCGAGUGGUUAAGGCGGUGGACUAGAAAUCCAUUGCGGUCUCCUUGCACAGGUUUGAAUCCUGUCGACUGCG